Molecule: ribosomal RNA, 305 nt
Filed under: uncultured bacterium
Lineage: Bacteria
Description: partial 16S ribosomal RNA
Rfam family: Bacterial small subunit ribosomal RNA
Source: RNAcentral
ACAGCAGCCGCCGCGGGAACACGUAGGUGGCAAGCGUUGUCCGGAAUUACUGGGCGUAAAGGGCUCGCAGGCGGUUUCUUAAGUCUGAUGUGAAAGCCCCCGGCUCAACCGGGGAGGGUCAUUGGAAACUGGGAAACUUGAGUGCAGAAGAGGAGAGUGGAAUUCCACGUGUAGCGGUGAAAUGCGUAGAGAUGUGGAGGAACACCAGUGGCGAAGGCGACUCUCUGGUCUGUAACUGACGCUGAGGAGCGAAAGCGUGGGGAGCGAACAGGAUUAGAUACCCGAGUAGUCCCUGUCUCUUAUAC